GAAUUUUAUAUAAAAUUUAUAAUUAAAUUUAUAUUCAUAUAUAUAUAAAAUUUUAUAUUUAGUUGGGAGGAUUAUUAAAUUUUAUUAACUUUAAUUAAAAUAAACAAUAUAGAUUAAUAAAUUAAAGAAUGAUAAAUAAAUUAAAUAAAAAUUAAUUACCUUAGGGAUAACAGCAUAAUAUUUUUGAAGAGAACAUAUCGAUAAAAAUGUUUGU
Molecule: ribosomal RNA, 214 nt
Filed under: Megalomyrmex drifti
Lineage: Eukaryota; Metazoa; Arthropoda; Insecta; Hymenoptera; Formicidae
Description: partial large subunit ribosomal RNA
Source: RNAcentral